RNAcentral lists this ribosomal RNA (253 nucleotides) under uncultured bacterium. RNAcentral describes it as "partial 16S ribosomal RNA". It matches the Rfam family "Bacterial small subunit ribosomal RNA", at positions 524 to 776 of the family's 1533-position model. The record is from RNAcentral.
UACAGAGGUCUCGAGCGUUAGGCGGAAUCACUGGGCUUAAAGCGUGUGUAGGCGGAUUGGUAAGUACCUUGUGAAAUCCCGCGGCUCAACCGUGGAACUGCCUUAGAUACUGACGGCCUCGAGGGAGGUAGGGGCGAGCGGAACUGUGAGUGGAGCGGUGAAAUGCGUUGAUAUUCACAGGAACUCCGGUGGCGAAGGCGGCUCGCUGGACCUUUUCUGACGCUGAGGCGCGAAAGCCAGGGGAGCAAACGGG